GGCCGUGUAGCCAAGAUGGUCAAGGCGCCCGACUGCUACUCGGGAAACGCGGGUUCGACACCCGCCACGGCCU
Molecule: transfer RNA, 73 nt
Filed under: Chloroflexota bacterium
Lineage: Bacteria; Bacillati; Chloroflexota
Description: Chloroflexi bacterium tRNA-Ser
Rfam family: tRNA
About the family: Transfer RNA (tRNA) molecules are approximately 80 nucleotides in length. Their secondary structure includes four short double-helical elements and three loops (D, anti-codon, and T loops).
Source: RNAcentral